AGAAGUUUAGGUUAACCAGACCAAGAGCCUUCAAAGCUCUAAGCAAGUAUAGUUCACUUAACUUCUG
This 67-nucleotide transfer RNA is filed under the name Ziphius cavirostris (Cuvier's beaked whale). RNAcentral describes it as "tRNA-Trp". The record is from RNAcentral. Lineage: Eukaryota; Metazoa; Chordata; Mammalia; Artiodactyla; Ziphiidae.